Molecule: ribosomal RNA, 252 nt
Filed under: uncultured bacterium
Lineage: Bacteria
Description: partial 16S ribosomal RNA
Rfam family: Bacterial small subunit ribosomal RNA
Source: RNAcentral
UACGUAGGGCGCAAGCGUUAUCCGGAAUUAUUGGGCGUAAAGAGCUCGUAGGCGGUUUGUCGCGUCUGCCGUGAAAGUCCGGGGCUCAACUCCGGAUCUGCGGUGGGUACGGGCAGACUAGAGUGAUGUAGGGGAGACUGGAAUUCCUGGUGUAGCGGUGAAAUGCGCAGAUAUCAGGAGGAACACCGGUGCGGAAGGCGGAUCUCUGGGCAUUAACUGACGCUGAGGAGCGAAAGCUGGGGAGCGAACAGG